RNAcentral lists this non-coding RNA (150 nucleotides) under fish gut metagenome. Its description in RNAcentral is "glmS glucosamine-6-phosphate activated ribozyme". It matches the Rfam family "glmS glucosamine-6-phosphate activated ribozyme aptamer". Rfam says of the family: This entry contains a glucosamine-6-phosphate activated ribozyme that is found in the mRNA for GlmS. GlmS is an enzyme that uses fructose-6-phosphate and glutamine to generate glucosamine-6-phosphate. The record is from RNAcentral.
AUAUGAAAAGCGCAAGUGCCAGUCCUUAAGGACUUGGUGAACGAGGAAGAGGUUAAUCGAAUUGUCAGCGGGUGCCUCUUGGUUAUGCUACAGACCAUAAGUUAAACUACAAAAACUGCGGUAACGCAUCGAACAAAAUGUUUAACAAGU